This 75-nucleotide transfer RNA is filed under the name Candidatus Woesearchaeota archaeon. RNAcentral describes it as "tRNA-Glu". It matches the Rfam family "tRNA". Rfam says of the family: Transfer RNA (tRNA) molecules are approximately 80 nucleotides in length. Their secondary structure includes four short double-helical elements and three loops (D, anti-codon, and T loops). Further hydrogen bonds mediate the characteristic L-shaped molecular structure. tRNAs have two regions of fundamental functional importance: the anti-codon, which is responsible for specific mRNA codon recognition, and the 3' end, to which the tRNAs corresponding amino acid is attached (by aminoacyl-tRNA synthetases). tRNAs cope with the degeneracy of the genetic code in two manners: having more than one tRNA (with a specific anti-codon) for a particular amino acid; and 'wobble' base-pairing, i.e. permitting non-standard base-pairing at the 3rd anti-codon position. Lineage: Archaea; Nanobdellati; Candidatus Woesearchaeota. The record is from RNAcentral.
GCCCCUGUAGUGUAGUCCGGCCAAUCACUUCGGAUUUUCAAUCCGAAAACCCGGGUUCAAAUCCCGGCGGGGGCA